Molecule: ribosomal RNA, 253 nt
Filed under: uncultured bacterium
Lineage: Bacteria
Description: partial 16S ribosomal RNA
Rfam family: Bacterial small subunit ribosomal RNA
Source: RNAcentral
AACGUAGGUGGCGAGCGUUAUCCGGAUUUACUGGGCGUAAAGCGCGUGCAGGCGGCUUAUCAAGUGGUGUAUGAAAUAUCCAGGCUCAACCUGGAGGGGUUAUGCCAGACUGGUAGGCUAGAGUGCGAGAGAGGGGCGUGGAAUUCCGGGUGUAGUGGUGAAAUGCGUAGAGAUCCGGAGGAACCCCAGAGGCGAAGGCGGCGCCCUGGCUCGACACUGACGCUCAGACACGACAGCAUGGGGAGCGAACGGG